RNAcentral lists this transfer RNA (90 nucleotides) under Candidatus Brocadiia bacterium. Its description in RNAcentral is "tRNA-Ser". It matches the Rfam family "tRNA". Rfam says of the family: Transfer RNA (tRNA) molecules are approximately 80 nucleotides in length. Their secondary structure includes four short double-helical elements and three loops (D, anti-codon, and T loops). The record is from RNAcentral. Lineage: Bacteria; Pseudomonadati; Planctomycetota; Candidatus Brocadiia. RNAcentral also lists the same sequence under 1 other name.
GGAGAGGUGCCUGAGUGGUUGAAAGGGACGGUCUCGAAAACCGUUGUCCGCCUUUAGUGUGGACCGUGGGUUCGAAUCCCACCCUCUCCG